This 465-nucleotide ribosomal RNA is filed under the name uncultured bacterium. RNAcentral's name for it is "partial 16S ribosomal RNA". It matches the Rfam family "Bacterial small subunit ribosomal RNA", at positions 28 to 506 of the family's 1533-position model. The record is from RNAcentral.
GACGAACGCUGGCGGCGUGCUUAACACAUGCAAGUCGAACGGUAAGGCUCCAGCUUGCUGGGGUACACGAGUGGCGAACGGGUGAGUAACACGUGGGUGACCUGCCCUGCACUUCGGGAUAAGCCUGGGAAACUGGGUCUAAUACCGGAUAGGACCAUGGUGUGGAUACUGUGGUGGAAAGUUUUUUCGGUGUGGGAUGGGCCCGCGGCCUAUCAGCUUGUUGGUGGGGUACUGGCCUACCAAGGCGGCGACGGGUAGCCGGCCUGAGAGGGUGGACGGCCACAUUGGGACUGGGACACGGCCCAGACGCCUACGGGAGGCAGCAGUGGGGAAUAGUGCACAAUGGGCGGAAGCCGGAUGCAGCGACGCCGCGUGGGGGAUGACGGCCGUCGGGUUGUAAACUCCUUUCACCAUCGACGAAGGGUUUCUGACGGUAGAUGGAGAAGAGGCACCGGCUAACUACGU